Molecule: small nuclear RNA, 81 nt
Filed under: Caenorhabditis brenneri
Lineage: Eukaryota; Metazoa; Nematoda; Chromadorea; Rhabditida; Rhabditidae
Description: sRNA CBN34071
Rfam family: SmY spliceosomal RNA
Source: Rfam by way of RNAcentral
CAAACAAUAGAAUCUCUAUAAUGGCUCGGUUUCAGACCCAGUCCCGCAAUUUUUGGAGACCCUAUUCUCAGGAAUAGGGUG